RNAcentral lists this transfer RNA (71 nucleotides) under Chelonia mydas (Green sea turtle). It matches the Rfam family "tRNA". From Rfam's summary of the family: Transfer RNA (tRNA) molecules are approximately 80 nucleotides in length. Their secondary structure includes four short double-helical elements and three loops (D, anti-codon, and T loops). Lineage: Eukaryota; Metazoa; Chordata; Testudines; Cheloniidae. The record is from Rfam by way of RNAcentral.
GGUCCCAUGGUAUAAUGGUCUCACUGUGGACUUUGAAUCCAGUCAUUUGAGUUCAAAUGUCAGUGAGACCU